ACUCCUACGGGAGGCAGCAGUGGGGAAUUUUGGACAAUGGGGGAAACCCUGAUCCAGCCAUCCCGCGUGUGUGAUGAAGGCCUUCGGGUUGUAAAGCACUUUUGGCAGGAAAGAAACGUCGUGGGUUAAUCCCCGCGAAACUGACGGUAC
Molecule: ribosomal RNA, 150 nt
Filed under: Achromobacter xylosoxidans
Lineage: Bacteria; Pseudomonadati; Pseudomonadota; Betaproteobacteria; Burkholderiales; Alcaligenaceae
Description: partial 16S ribosomal RNA
Rfam family: Bacterial small subunit ribosomal RNA
Source: RNAcentral